This 253-nucleotide ribosomal RNA is filed under the name uncultured bacterium. RNAcentral's name for it is "partial 16S ribosomal RNA". It matches the Rfam family "Bacterial small subunit ribosomal RNA", at positions 524 to 776 of the family's 1533-position model. The record is from RNAcentral.
UACGUAGGGGCCGAGCGUUGUCCGGAGUUAUUGGGCGUAAAGCGCGCGCAGGCGGCCUCGCGCGCCCGACGUGAAAGCCCCCGGCUUAACCGGGGAAGGGGCGCCGAUACGGCCGGCCUGGAGGGACGUAGGGGGGGCUGGAACUUCCGGUGGAGCGGUGAAAUGCGUUGAGAUCGGAAGGAACGCCCGUGGCGAAAGCGCGUCCCUGGACCCCGCCUGACGCUGAGACGCGAAAGCCAGGGGAGCAAACGGG